Molecule: long non-coding RNA, 1504 nt
Organism: Cucumis sativus (cucumber)
Lineage: Eukaryota; Viridiplantae; Streptophyta; Magnoliopsida; Cucurbitales; Cucurbitaceae
Exons: 5
Source: RefSeq, a predicted model, not a curated record
UUAAAAAUCAGGCCUGACUUGAAGAUGUUUUUUUUAAAUUGCUUACGUUUUGUUUUAUAUUAAUCAAAGUCUUUUAUUUGUUAAAAAUUAACGACCUCGACUUACUUAGAAAAGUUGGGUCGUUACAUAAUCACUUGAGAUCGUCCAUCAGAAGUGUUAACAUAGAUCUCUAUGCCGAUGAGGAUUUGGGCAACACACCUAUGAACGAAGAAGUGAAGGAAUGAUUAAUAAUAUUGUUGCAAUUGCAACCGUACUUGAUGAUAGCAAUGGUGGUCCCAAUGUUAAAAUCUUGGUGGACUUGCUCACAGGAGGAGAUUGUAGUUUACCUAUUCCAGUGAAGGGCAAGAUAGAGACUUUAAAUCAAGCAUUAGGUUUCGAUAUUAUUUUGUUUGUGCUUGGAGCAUUCAACCCCAAAGGAUGUUCUGUAUUCUUCAAAUUACAUAAAUGUUAAUGGAACCAUUAAGCUCUUAUAUGGACAUGUCGUGAACAAUAUGAAGGAUGUAGAUAUGGUUCGCAUCCUAAUGAACAAGCUAAUAUUCGGUAAAAACAAAUUCAUUUAUUUAGCUCGUUAGGACUUGCUCCAUUAUUGCGGCAUGGUAGAAAUAGGCUAUAUGUGCAUCCUAGCAUACAUUACGUAAGUAAACAUCUUUUACUCAUCUUUAUGUCCAAUACUAUAGCUAUAGUUAUUUUGUUCCUUUUUAACUAAGGUUGCUUUUACUUAGAUAUCUUUGGGAUGAAUGUGAUUGUGGAAGCAAGUUUUUUGUUAUCACCAAGCAAAAAUAACAUCACAUAUCAAGGAUCGUGAUCUCCGAUCCAGAAAUUUUGCCAACCAGUUAGAAGCGGCUACCUUAGAACAAAUAGUUCUAAUUCCGUAUAAUACUGGUUUUCAUUGGAUGUUGCAUGUCAUCGAUCUUCGAGAGAACUGUGUUUAUGUUUUGGACUCUCUUCAAAGUAAAGUUAACGAAGACAUCCAUGGAGUCAUAAAUGUGACUUAUGAUUUACUUCUUAUUUGACUUCAUUGUCUUCUAAUUCUAAUGUUUCCAAAUGUAUAGAGGAUUAAAAACAUGGCAAGCUAAGCAUGAUUUACAACACUAUCGAUCGGUCAAAUCCGAAAUGGAAACCUAUAAAGUUUAAUACAAAAAAGUGCAUAUACGCAAGAGGAGAUUGACGAGAUUCGAACAAAAUAUGCAAGCUUUGUUAGCCGAUUUGUGUAAGCUUUUACACUUUUUUUUGUAGUAUAUAAGUUACUAGUACUAAUACUAAUUGUUUUAAUAUAUAAGCUACGAGAUUCUAGUACUACUUGUUGUACAUACUUUAAUUUUGAGGUUUUCUGCUUGUAGUAGUUUAUGAAUAAGUGUUGUAUUGUAGUGUUUUAGGUGUUGACUUUAGAGUGUAUUUGUUGUAGUACUAUGUGGAAAGUGUGUAUUAGUGGAGGAAUUUGUUGUACACAUACUUUAAUACUUUACAUAUUAUUUACUUGAUUGAUAUGUGUAUUUUUGUAGUA